Tupaia belangeri chinensis (Chinese tree shrew) is the source of this 2664-nucleotide long non-coding RNA. RefSeq lists it as uncharacterized. The record is from RefSeq and is a predicted model, not a curated record. NCBI's taxonomy places the organism in Eukaryota, Metazoa, Chordata, Mammalia, Scandentia, Tupaiidae. The transcript is spliced from 6 exons.
GAGUGUUAAUUCACGCCACCACUAACUAGUAUUGAAAUUACGUGUUCAAAGAGAAUAAAUUGUUUGAAGGAAAGGCUUGGUGUGUCUGUAUCGGUUACGAUCAUUCAAUAAAUUUAAUCUAUUCCUCCCAGCCUGAGCAGAAUCAUAAUUCCCAUGCAGAAACAGAGUGUGUGACUUCUGAGAAUUCUCCAUUAUGGCUCAACAGGAACUUUUCAGACAGCCACAUAAGUCAGGAGUAGCCUUGCUUACUAGACAGAGGCCAAGUGAGGUCUGCUUCCUCAUCCAGGAUGAAGCAUUGGAUUGUGACACAUGGGGGUCAGUGAUAUUAACUCUCUUUCCCGUGAGAAAUAAUUCAUCAUCCAGCAUUUGCUAUUAAUGUGCCUCUGCUGAAAUCACAACUGACUUCAGUGAAAUUUCUGGAACCCAUCUGUCAUUUCAAAAUAUGCACUAUAGGGGAAACACAGUAGCACCAGAUCCAAUAUGGCAGUCAGCAGGAGGCUGAUGAAGGAGCUUGAAGAAAUCCCCAAAUGUGAAAUGAAAAACUUCCAUAACAUCCAGGUUUUAAUUUUCCUUAUGCAAGGGUCCACCAUAAGCAGCAAUAAAAGAAACAGAACAAACACUCCUGAAUCACUAGCUUCCGAGGUACUGAGUGGUGCUUUAUUGAUGGCAGGUGUAUGUGGCUUCCUGGAACAUGUUGUUUACGAAUAACGACAUCUUUCUGGCAUUAAGAGAGUGGAGGUAUGAAGAUAUCAUGGACUGACAUUAUUUGUUCAAAUGUUGCAGUGCAUUUCUCUUGCCUGAUGCCACUAGAAGCCUUACAAAGGAACAGAGCCUCAUCCAUGAUUUAGUUUCUGACCCCUAACAGUCUACUAUCCUGCCCCAGUCUGAGCCCCAAACCUCAAAAUUUGCUAUCUAUACUAAUUAAAAAGGUUCUUUUAUUCUACCAGGGGAUUGUUUGCCAGGUAAUCACUAUGACUUUAUGCUGGUACUUUGGAAUGGAGCAAGAAACUGCAUAGGUGGCCUCCUUGUACCAGCCCCUAAAACAGAGUUGGGCAGCCUGACCCAGCUUCUGGAUCAUUAGGUACAAAGAAUAGCAUCUUGUCUUGAGUAAAAUCAUUGCUUUUGAUUAAAAUACUCUGACAUACCUGUGGUUGAUGGAUGAUCUUGGAGCUUUUAAAGUUUGUUAGACUCUCUAAGGCAUUGAAAAGUGAGAGUGCUGUGUCUUACAUAGAAUAAAUGUUUCAUAAAUGUUUAUCAAAUUACUAAACCAGACUGAAUAACAUUUUAAAGAAAAUUCUUCAUGAGCUGUAGUAGUGGGCUAAAACCAGGCAGAUGAGGUUCAAUGGAAAUAAGCAUCAAGUCCUAUUCUGGUUGCCAUUUAUAACAAAAAAAAACCCUAUGUUUGUAUAGAUUUUUACAGACUACAGACCAUUUAUACCUAUUUAUUCCAUUUAAUGCCUACCAAAAAUAUCCACUUGACUAUAUUGCCAUUUUUUAGUUAAAUAUGAUAUAGACAUUAUAAGCAACUUGUCUGAAGUCAUACAUCUAGUGCAUUCCUGGUGGAAGUCAAGGUCCAUCUUCUGAUUUUGUGUUUCAGGCACUUCCUAAGAUAUAUUAAGGUUCCGCAUGCAUCUAAGAGACUUACCGUGUUCAGAUGGAGGGAGACUUGUCUUUAUUGAAAUACUUUUGGAAAGAAGUAGUUUUACUUACGUUCAUGAAAAUACAUCAUCUAGGACAAGAUGAACAGUCCCACUGAACCAUGUACUGGUCAAGAUCAUAUCUGGAGCACAUAUCUUAUUCUGAGUAUUACAUUGUAAGGUUUGAGAUUUAUGAAGGGUCAUAAAGUAGAGAACUGAGGAAAUUUGUUCUGGGGGUUAAAGUUCUGAAAACCACACCUUACAAGAAGCAAUAGAAAGAAUUAGGGAUAUUCAGCCUGGAGAUAGGGCGAGGUAAUGACAUGGGCAGGGAAAGUAUGCUUGUGUCUCCAAAAUCUGAAGCCUGCUAUCUCAGAGGUCUUAGAUCUGUAACUCCAGAGGCCAGAAUAGAAUUGCUAAAAAGGUUAUUUUAAAAUUCAUUUUGAAUAUUCAAUAUAAAGGAAAAUUUCAAGAGUAAAACUUACACAAGAAUUCAGUGCAUUUUCUUGUGAGAUAUAACUAAUCGAGCAAAAUGAGUAGACCAUUUGCUGUGGAUGACAUAUCACGAUUUUGUCAUUAGGUAGGAGGUUGAAAUAAAUGCUCUUUAAAGCCCUUUAUGAAGGCCUCUAAGAUUUUACAGUUUAACCUUUUUAAAAAAUAAUUAAGUUUGAACAGAGGAAAAAUACCCAUCUGUUCUCAUAACCUACAUUUGCUAGUGAUAUCUAGGUUUUGUUACUGCAAACCAUUGUACCCCCAGAAUUUAGCAGCUUAAAACAUGGAUCUUGUGAGUCUGGAUUAUGGAUAGUUCUCCAUAUUGUCAGCUAGAAGACUCAAUGUCUCAGUAGAGGGCAGGAGAGAACUUGGUAACUGGAGGCUGGAAUCUUCUAGAGUUGUGCCAUCCAAUAUAGCAGGUACUAAUGGUUUGUAGCUACUGGGUGCUUGAAAUGUGUCUGGUCUGAAUAGAAUUGUGCCCUAGAUUUAAAACACACACAAACACACAUCCACAAACACACACAGACAUGUAAACACA